CACGUAGGGGGCAAGCGUUGUCCGGAUUUAUUGGGCGUAAAGAGCUCGUAGGUGGCUGAGUAAGUCGGAUGUUAAAUCCCCAGGCUCAACCUGGGACACCACCCGAUACUGCUCUGGCUAGAGUCCGGUAGGGGAGCGUGGAAUUCCUGGUGUAGCGGUGAAAUGCGUAGAUAUCAGGAGGAACACCUGCGGUGUAGACGGCUUACUGGACGGUAACUGACGCUGAGGCACGAAAGCGUGGGUAGCAAACAGG
This 253-nucleotide ribosomal RNA is filed under the name uncultured bacterium. Its description in RNAcentral is "partial 16S ribosomal RNA". It matches the Rfam family "Bacterial small subunit ribosomal RNA", at positions 524 to 776 of the family's 1533-position model. The record is from RNAcentral.